This 473-nucleotide ribosomal RNA is filed under the name uncultured organism. RNAcentral's name for it is "partial 16S ribosomal RNA". It matches the Rfam family "Bacterial small subunit ribosomal RNA", at positions 333 to 797 of the family's 1533-position model. The record is from RNAcentral.
ACACUCCUACGGGAGGCAGCAGUGGGGAAUUUUGGACAAUGGGCGAAAGCCUGAUCCAGCAAUGCUGCGUGAGUGAAGAAGGCCUUCGGGUUGUAAAGCUCUUUUGUCAGGGAAGAAACGGUGAAAGCUAAUAUCUUUUGCUAAUGACGGUACCUGAAGAAUAAGCACCGGCUAACUACGUGCCAGCAGCCGCGGUAAUACGUAGGGUGCAAGCGUUAAUCGGAAUUACUGGGCGUAAAGCGUGCGCAGGCGGUUUUGUAAGUCUGAUGUGAAAUCCCCGGGCUCAACCUGGGAAUUGCAUUGGAGACUGCAAGGCUAGAAUCUGGCAGAGGGGGGUAGAAUUCCACGUGUAGCAGUGAAAUGCGUAGAUAUGUGGAGGAACACCGAUGGCGAAGGCAGCCCCCUGGGUCAAGAUUGACGCUCAUGCACGAAAGCGUGGGGAGCAAACAGGAUUAGAUACCCUGGUAGUCCCA